UUUUUGGAGGGCAAGUCUGGUGCCAGCAGCCGCGGUAAUUCCAGCUCCAAUAGCGUAUAUUAAAGUUGUUGCAGUUAAAAAGCUCGUAGUUGAAUUUCGGGGUUCUACCGUUGGUCGGGCAAUAGUCUGUACUGGCGUGUAGAAUUUCUACCUUCUGGGGAACCAUCAUGUUAUUUAUUUAGCGUGGUGGGAAACCAGGACCUUUACCUUGAAAAAAUUAGAGUGUUCAAAGCAGGCUUACGUCUGAAUACAUUAGCAUGGAAUAAUAAAAUAGGACGGUGGUCCUGUUUUGUUGGUUUCUGAAUCACCGUAAUGAUUAAUAGGGAUAGUUGGGGGCAUUAGUAUUCAAUUGUCAGAGGUGAAAUUCUUGGAUUUAUUGAAGACUAACUUCUGCGAAAGCAUUUGCCAAGGAUGUUUUCAUUAAUCAAGAACGAAAGUUAGGGGAUCGAAGACGAUCAGAUACCGUCGUAGUCUUAACCAUAAACUAUG
Molecule: ribosomal RNA, 489 nt
Filed under: Gigaspora decipiens
Lineage: Eukaryota; Fungi; Glomeromycota; Glomeromycetes; Diversisporales; Gigasporaceae
Description: SSU rRNA
Rfam family: Eukaryotic small subunit ribosomal RNA
Source: RNAcentral